This 253-nucleotide ribosomal RNA is filed under the name uncultured bacterium. Its description in RNAcentral is "partial 16S ribosomal RNA". It matches the Rfam family "Bacterial small subunit ribosomal RNA", at positions 524 to 776 of the family's 1533-position model. The record is from RNAcentral.
GACGAACCAAGCGAACAUUGUUCGGAAUCACUGGGCUUAAAGGGCGCGUAGGCGGGCUGUCAAGUCUGGGGUGAAAUCCCGCGGCUCAACCGCGGAACUGCCUCGGAUACUGACGGUCUCGAGGGGGGUAGGGGCGAGCGGAACUGAUGGUGGAGCGGUGAAAUGCGUUGAUAUCAUCAGGAACUCCGGUGGCGAAGGCGGCUCGCUGGACCUCUUCUGACGCUGAGGCGCGAAAGCUAGGGGAGCAAACGGG